CAUGAAUAGCUUCAUUGUGCAACAGCCUCCCUCCGAUCAGACUUCCCGUUAGCUUUCGUUCAGCUGGCCUUAGACAGUCCAGCUGCUGUGGCACCUUGUUGGAGCAAAUUAGAGGCAAACUGGUGGGAAGUGACUACUGCUUACAAACAUCUUCCCUGGAAGUCUGAGGAAGCAUCUGGGAGAGUUUUGUCCGUGCGAGAAGGAAAGCAGCCGCUCAGUUCCUCCAGAACCUUGUCUGUGCAGAAGACCAGGAUGGCGAGUUGUGGCUCGUGUUUCUGGUGCAUCAUUUGGCUGGUGGUACUCCUGUGCAUUGGCUGGCCAAUCAGCAUCACCUUAGGCGGCCUCUACGGUCUCAUCAGCCCCCUCACCACCUGCCUUGGCCUUGAUCGACUUUCUGACUUACUGCUGGAGGGGGCCAACGUAGGCCGGACCUGUGCCAACAACAUGAGGCACUGCAAGCCUUUGUGCUGAGAAUCACCCUGAGUGAUCAGGACCUGAUCACACAGGGGUCAUAGGCAACUCGCGUUUUAUAGCAACAAAGCUUCUUCACAGAGAUAGGAGCCGAUGGUGUCUGUUUUAUUUUGUAAUGAGUGGCAUUUGAUAAACUGGCAUUCUGUCUUGCAACCUCUGUUACCAAAAAGUUUGAACACUGGUUUCCACCUCUGCUGUUAACACCUAAUUAACCUCGGAUUUCAGUUUUGUGUGCAAGAAAAUAGGCUUUGCAUUCAUGGUCCAUGCUCUCUGUAUAAUUCAUGGUGACACUGCAUGCAGAAGAUAAGAAUGAAAAUGGCAUUUUAACAAUAGGACUGUUUAGACUUGUAAAGCACUGUACUGAAACCUAGAAUGCGAUUAAAACUGCUUUAAGCUUGUC
Long non-coding RNA from Xiphophorus couchianus (Monterrey platyfish), 871 nucleotides. RefSeq lists it as uncharacterized. The record is from RefSeq and is a predicted model, not a curated record. Lineage: Eukaryota; Metazoa; Chordata; Actinopteri; Cyprinodontiformes; Poeciliidae. The transcript has 2 exons.